Solanum pennellii is the source of this 4053-nucleotide RNA transcript. It is a transcript of the gene named epidermal growth factor receptor substrate 15-like 1, with no coding region annotated. The transcript is spliced from 15 exons. NCBI's taxonomy places the organism in Eukaryota, Viridiplantae, Streptophyta, Magnoliopsida, Solanales, Solanaceae. The record is from RefSeq and is a predicted model, not a curated record.
GAGAAAAACGAAUAAAUUUGAGCAAUAAUUUAAUUGAUGAAGAACAACAUUCAUUGAAAUGAAAACCAUGCUUUGAUCACAACACAUAAAACUACCACGACGAAUGCACUCUGUUUUUUCACUUUACCCAAUUCAUUCUCUCUAGCCUCCGGCACCGGCAAGUCGCCGUCGGCUGACAUUCUAAAACCCUUUGAGUUUUUAGAUCAAACUUUGCUAUAAAUGAUUCGAUAACGAUUGCUUUACCCACAGAUCUAAUUCAGAACCGCAAUCAAUCGGGGGAAGAUAUCUCAAUUGACUAAUGGCUGCACAGAAUCAGAGUCCGAAUAUGGAUCAAUUUGACGCCUAUUUUCGGCGAGCUGAUUUGGAUCAGGAUGGUCGGAUCAGUGGCCCUGAGGCCGUUGCAUUUCUCAAAGGCUCAAAUUUGCCCCAACCAGUCCUCGCUCAGAUUUGGACAUAUGCUGAUCAAAGUCGUACUGGCUACCUUAGUCGCCAAGAAUUUUAUAAUGCUCUCAAGCUUGUUACGGUAGCACAAAAACGAGAGUUGACUCCAGAAAUAGUGAAGGCUGCACUAUUCACCCCAGCUUCAGCCAAAAUUCCUGCUCCCCAAAUAAACCUUGCAGUCAUACCAGGUCCUCAACCAACUAAUAAGGUUGGUUCUACAGUUCCUCCAGUUGGUGGUGCUACUCCAACAGCAACUCAUACUUCCGGCGUUAGAGGUCAACAAGGCUUACCAGCUCAGCAAAGUUAUGUGGGGCCUCCUAGGUCCUCAAAUCCUAGCCCUGGUUUCCAAUCUCAACCAAAUGUUUCCGGACAAGGAAUGCUAGUUGGAAGUACUAUUGCAGCUUCUCGCCCUCCCAGUUCCACUGAUUUGUUUGCUGGUCAGAAUGGUCGCUCACAAGCAGGUGCCAAUUCCCAAGCUCCUAAUUCAAGUGGCAGUUCUAGAAGUCAGGAUGCAUUUGGUCUGGCUGUAUCAACACCUUCUGCACAAAAAACACAACAAGCAACCAUGUCAUCAGUGCAACCAGAUCUAUCAAAAUCAAAUAAUGCAACUUUGUCGCAUGGAAACCUGCUUGAUGCCAAGGUUCCUAAAGCUGUUUCAGUCGCAGGAAAUGGAUUUCCAUCCGAUUCACUCUUUGGAGAUGUUUUUUCAGUUGCCUCAGUUCAACCAAAUCAAAGCUCCACACCAACUAUAUCUUCAGCUAGCAGCUUAGCAGUAUCAGCCACAGACCGAGCAUCUACAGGUGCCCAACCUCCUGUAAAAGCUAACUCAGUUAAUUUGCAGACUACACUUCCUCAGCAGCCGGUACACCAGCAUCAGCAAGCUCAUUUGACUGUGAGGCCGAACCAACAGGUCCCAGUGCAGAGUUCUGCUGGAAAUCCUAGUGCAGGUAGAAAUUCUCUUCCUGGUCAACCUCAGCUUCCGUGGCCAAGGAUUACGCAGUCUGAUUAUCAGAAGUAUAGCAAAGUAUUUAUGGCAGUGGACACAGAUAGGGAUGGAAAAAUUACUGGCGCAGAGGCACGGAGCUUGUUUCUAAGUUGGAAGCUGCCUCGAGAGGUCUUAAAACAGGUGUGGGAUUUAUCAGAUCAAGAUAAUGACAGCAUGCUUUCUUUGAGGGAAUUCUGCAUUGCACUCUACCUGAUGGAGCGACACAGGGAAGGUCGCUCUCUCCCUUCAGUCCUUCCAGCUAAUCUUAUCUUUGACGAGUCACCGUUGCCUGCUUCUGGCCAGCCUACAGGAUCUCAUGGUGCGACAGCUUGGAGAGAGACACCGGGUUUCCAGCAAACACAGGGGCCAAAUGUUGCACGACAAGCUGCUUUUGGUGCUCCAAGGAGGCCUCCACGUCCAGUACCCAUUCCCCAGCCCGAUGAAGCUGUGCAGCCUAGUAAAGAGAAACCUAAAGUUCCAGUAUUGGAGAAGCAUCUGAUUGACCAACUUAGCACAGAGGAACAGGAUUCAUUGAACAUGAAAUUCCAGGAAGCUACUGAUGCAGAAAAGAAGGUCAUGGAACUGGAGAAGGAAAUUUUAGAGGCCAAAGAAAAGAAUCAGUUCUACCAUGCAAAGAUGCAGGAAGUAAUUCUAUACAAAAGCCGAUGCGAUAAUAGACUAAAUGAGAUAAGUGCAAGAACUUCUGCUGAUAAAAGAGAGGUCGAAUUACUGGCUAAAAAAUAUGAAGAGAAAUACAAGCAGGCUGGAGAUGUUGCUUCUAAAUUGACAAUUGAGGAGGCCACGUUUCGGGAUAUUCAAGAAAAAAAAAUGGAGCUGUAUAGAACAAUUGUCAAAAUGGAUCAAGAUGGUAAAACCGAUGGUAUCCAGGACCGUGCUAAUCAGAUUCAGGGCGACCUCGAGGGGCUAGUGAAAACUUUGAAUGAACGCUGCAAGACUUAUGGGCUACGGGCCAAACCAACUACUCUGCUUGAGCUUCCAUUUGGUUGGCAACCUGGCAUCCAAGAGGGGGCAGCAGACUGGGAUGGAGAGUGGGAUAAAUUUGACGAUGAAGAAUUCACAUUUGUGAAAGAGCUCAAUCUUGACGUACAAAAUGUCAUUGCCCCUCCUAAACCAAAAUCUUCACUGGUUCGGGAGAAAGCAUCUUCGCUGAAUGACCAUGAUACUGGAAAAUCAUCUGAUGAUGCUGGCACUGAUGCAAAGUCAGAGAAGUUGCCAAGCCCUGUAAAAACCAGAGUGAUGAGUGAUGUGGAGACUACCCAUACAGCAAGAAGUUCAAUUAAUAGUCCAACCGGGAGUAAUGCAGUUGAGAGUCCAUCAAAGGAAUUUGAAGAAUCACUGAAUAGGAAGGAUGGUACUUUUGAUGGUUCUCCCCAUGCUGCCCAAAGUGAACACUGGGGAGCUGAAUCGGCGUUCUCUGGGGACAAAAGUUUUGAUGAAUCUGGUUGGGGUACAUUUGAUACAGACCUUGAUGCAGAUGCUGCAUGGAACAUCAAUUCUGCUGCUAAGGAAUCUCGUGAUGAGAAGCACAAGGAAACUGCUCUAUUUGACGAUGACGACUGGGGCCUGAGGCCCAUAAAAACGGGAUCUACAAAUUCCAGCAACUCGCUCCCUAAGCAAGCCCCAUUUUUUGAUUCUGUUCCUAGCACCCCUAGUAAUAAUACUGGGUUUAGUUACUCAGAGAACCAGUUCCCAAAGCAAAGCCCAUUCUUUGAUUCUGUUCCAAGCACACCAAGUAACAUCUCUGGAUUCCCACAGGGGGACAGCUUGUUUUCUAGACCAAGUCCCUUCUUUGAUUCUGUUCCCAGCACACCGGCCUAUAACGCAGGUGGCUCGCCAGUUGCUGACAAUAUGUUCCAGAAAAAGAGUCCAUUUUCCUUUGCGGACUCGGUUCCAGGCACACCUAUGUUUAGCUCUACCAACUCACCUCGAAGAUCUAAUGAAUUCUCUGAAGAUCACUUGAACAGCCUUUCCAGAUAUGAUUCAUUCAACAUGCAAGAUGGCGGCCUCUUCGGUAGUCGUGAAUUUUCAAGAUUUGAUUCCAUGCGCAGCACCAGAGACUCUGAGUAUGAUAAUGGUUCAUCCCAGCAACGUGACUCCUUUGCUCGGUUUGAUUCAUUCCGCAGCACAGCAGACUCUGAUUAUAAUUUUGGAGCCUUUCCAGCUCGCGAGUCACUAUCAAGGUUUGAUUCCAUCCGUAGCAGCAGGGACUCAAAUUAUGGUCAUGGUUUCCCAUCUUUUGAUGAUGCUGAUCCAUUUGGGUCUCAUGAUCCCUUUAAGACAUCUGCGGAGAAUCAGACACCGAAGAGAGAUUCUGAUAAUUGGAAAGCAUUUUAAGAUGCCAGGGGGUUUAUUUUGACCUUUUCCUUUCUUGCAUUAAUUCAUCGAACGUCCAGGGAUAAUCUAGUCGAGAGUGAUUUCUUCUCACUUGACUGCCAGUGUGCCAGUUAUUAUGAUGAUAGUUGAUUGAGGAAUGUAGUAGGAUCAUAUAAACCACAUGUAUUCAUUUCACAUAAUUUGGCAUUCAAAUGGUUUUUGACUGUUGUAAUAUGAUUAUGUUAGCCGAGGGUCUUUUGAAAAUAACCUUUCUAGCUGGUAAGGUUUUCAUA